RNAcentral lists this ribosomal RNA (498 nucleotides) under Pleosporaceae sp. MU-191. RNAcentral's name for it is "eukaryotic LSU rRNA". It matches the Rfam family "Eukaryotic large subunit ribosomal RNA", at positions 96 to 598 of the family's 3401-position model. Lineage: Eukaryota; Fungi; Ascomycota; Dothideomycetes; Pleosporales; Pleosporaceae. The record is from RNAcentral.
AAGCGGCAACAGCUCAAAUUUGAAAUCUGGCUCUUUUAGGGUCCGAGUUGUAAUUUGCAGAGGGCGCUUUGGCUUUGGCAGCGGUCCAAGUUCCUUGGAACAGGACGUCACAGAGGGUGAGAAUCCCGUACGUGGUCGCUAGCUAUCGCCGUGUAAAGCCCCUUCGACGAGUCGAGUUGUUUGGGAAUGCAGCUCUAAAUGGGAGGUAAAUUUCUUCUAAAGCUAAAUAUUGGCCAGAGACCGAUAGCGCACAAGUAGAGUGAUCGAAAGAUGAAAAGCACUUUGGAAAGAGAGUCAAACAGCACGUGAAAUUGUUGAAAGGGAAGCGCUUGCAGCCAGACUUGCUUGCAGUUGCUCAUCCGGGCUUUUGCCCGGUGCACUCUUCUGUAGGCAGGCCAGCAUCAGUUUGGGCGGUGGGAUAAAGGUCUCUGUCACGUACCUCUCUUCGGGGAGGCCUUAUAGGGGAGACGACAUACCACCAGCCUAGACUGAGGUCCG